AUGAACUUUUUGGCCAACCCAAUACUUAUUUUAAAAAACCCUUUAAGGAGACAAAAACCAUGCAGCGAACAGAUUUACCCACCGCGCCAGGCAGCUCUUUCCAAUUUCCUGCCUGUAUUCCCAGUAAGUUGGACAAGGAGUGCUGACCCCAGAGCCUCACUCAUGGUGACUGUCAGGACUCAACAACGGAGUGCUGACCCCAGAGCCUCACUCAUGGUGACUGUCAGGACUCAACAACGGGGUGCUCCUGGACCAGCACCUCCAGAACCGCAGGCCCUGAGGGCCACCCCAACCAGUCGGAAGAAGUGGGAGGCGCACACAAAUGGGCUGACUAGCUUUCAGUGGUUCACCUCCCCACAGGAAUCUUUCUGCCGCCUCCUCACAUUCCUGUAAAGCUUUGAAGUUUUAUUUAUCUGUUUUUCCUAAACACUUAGUGAAGGGAAUGGCUACCCACUCCAGUAUCCUGGCCUGGAGAAUUCCAUGGGCAGAGGAGCUUGGUGGGCUACAGUUCAUGGGGCCGCAAAGAGUCGGACAUGACUGAGAAAUUUUCACCUUCACUUUAGCUGUAUGAGACUAGCUGUAAUGGCUCCCUGGGGGCUUGCUUGCUGUCUGUUUUAAAUUCUUAUGAUUAAAAAACUUUGAGGCACUGAAUUGGGAUGGUAUUUACAACAGCUUUACAUAACUGAAAGGUGAAGGGGAGGCUCAAAGUUCACACAAAUGCACGCAUGCAUGUACACUUGCGUUGGCCUCUGUGAAGCUAGAGUGGAAUAUUAAAUAUCAAGUAUUGAAUUUUGGGGGUGGCUUCCCAGGUGGCUCAGUGGUAAAGAAUCCACUUGCCAAUGCAGGAUAAUGUUCGAUCUCUGAAUCAGGAAGAUCACCUGAAGGAGGAAAUAGCAACCCACUCCAGUAUUCUUCCUGAAAAAUUCCAGAGGACCCUCACAGGCUACUGUCCAGAGGGUCACAAAGAGUUGGACCCAACUAAGUGGCUGAGCACACAGGCACACACUGAAUUUCUAACUGUAAACUUAAGAGCUUGUCCCUAACUUUACAUGUAUACAGAUAACAGAAUGGUCACUACAAGCACUUUAAUAUCAAAACAGAUGUUAAAUGUUAAGGUUCUUAUUUAAACUGCUCUACAUACAAAAUGCCCUAGAAGCAAAGAAAGGCUUAAACAUAGAGAGAUAAACAUAAUGUAGAGUGUGUCUGACCUCCUUGUAUCGGCUCUGGAAGAAGGAGAAGAGCACACACAGGUAAAAAAAAGCCACACACUCAGAGGUAGUAGGAGCUGACAGCGAGGCUGUGGUCUGGACUGACCCUCUCCAGCGAACUGUUCAGUUCCCUCUGGGUGUCUGUUUCCCUCCUUCAUAUAUCCACUCACCAGGCUGGUGACGAUGAAGGCCCACAGCUCCCAGUCAUUAGUGAGCCUCAAAGCUGUGGUGAACUGGACUUCAGCGCUGUCCAUGCCCUUGGCAGAGACACAGGCCAGGCCCCGCAGGGUACGCAGCUGAGUUCUGCGGCUAGGAGGGUCGGAAGGCGGGGGUCGCGGUGCCGGCGCAGCCAACAGACCUGGGAGAUCUCCUGCAGUCCAGUGGCCUGUAAACUCUGCCCAGCCUACACAUGCUGGUGUACUUACGCAGGAUUUUUUGGAAGGAGGACAGGAUGGACUGCAAUCGAG
RNAcentral lists this long non-coding RNA (1675 nucleotides) under Bos grunniens (domestic yak). RNAcentral describes it as "lncRNA (ENSBGRG00000015215.1)". Lineage: Eukaryota; Metazoa; Chordata; Mammalia; Artiodactyla; Bovidae. The record is from RNAcentral.